Molecule: long non-coding RNA, 205 nt
Filed under: Elaeis guineensis (African oil palm)
Lineage: Eukaryota; Viridiplantae; Streptophyta; Magnoliopsida; Arecales; Arecaceae
Description: long non-coding RNA (EGUI_LNC014942)
Source: RNAcentral
GGGGUCAAGGUGUUCUGCUCAGCAUCUUUUUAUAUAGAUAAUUGCAACUCCGUAUAAUCAAAAUAAAUCAUAGACAAUCAUGGAUAGUGAAAAUUAUGAAAAAGACCGAAACAUUAUAGAUCCAAAAUGACUCAUAUAGGGUUAAUCAAUUGAUCUAGGUUUACCUAGACAUGUGGACCUCCACUAAUGUAUAGAAUUUCUAGAG